This 475-nucleotide ribosomal RNA is filed under the name uncultured organism. Its description in RNAcentral is "partial 16S ribosomal RNA". It matches the Rfam family "Bacterial small subunit ribosomal RNA", at positions 330 to 797 of the family's 1533-position model. The record is from RNAcentral.
CGUACACUCCUACGGGAGGCAGCAGUGGGGAAUUUUGGACAAUGGGCGCAAGCCUGAUCCAGCCAUGCCGCGUGCGGGAAGAAGGCCUUCGGGUUGUAAACCGCUUUUGUCAGGGAAGAAAAGGUUCUGGCUAAUACCUGGGACUCAUGACGGUACCUGAAGAAUAAGCACCGGCUAACUACGUGCCAGCAGCCGCGGUAAUACGUAGGGUGCAAGCGUUAAUCGGAAUUACUGGGCGUAAAGCGUGCGCAGGCGGUUAUGCAAGACAGAGGUGAAAUCCCCGGGCUCAACCUGGGAACUGCCUUUGUGACUGCAUGGCUAGAGUACGGUAGAGGGGGAUGGAAUUCCGCGUGUAGCAGUGAAAUGCGUAGAUAUGCGGAGGAACACCGAUGGCGAAGGCAAUCCCCUGGACCUGUACUGACGCUCAUGCACGAAAGCGUGGGGAGCAAACAGGAUUAGGAACCCGUGUAGUCCC